GACGAACGCUGGCGGCGUGCUUAACACAUGCAAGUCGAACGGUGAAGCGCCUUCCUUUUUGGUGGGUGUGGAUGAGUGGCGAACGGGUGAGUAACACGUGAGUAACCUGCCCCCUUCUUCUGGAUAACCGCAUGAAAGUGUGGCUAAUACGGGAUAUUCUGGGUCUGUCGCAUGAUGGGUCUGGGAAAGAUUUUGUUUCGGUGGGGGAUGGGCUCGCGGCCUAUCAGCUUGUUGGUGGGGUGAUGGCCUACCAAGGCGGUGACGGGUAGCCGGCCUGAGAGGGUGGACGGUCACACUGGGACUGAGACACGGCCCAGACUCCUACGGGAGGCAGCAGUGGGGAAUAUUGCACAAGGGGCGCAAGCAUGAUGCAGCGACGCCGCGCGAGGGAUGGAGGCCUUCGGGUUGUGAACCUCUUUCGCCAGUGAAGCAGGCCUGCCUCGUUUGUGGGUGGGUUGACGGUAGCUGGAUAAGAAGCGCCGGCUAACUACGUG
This 494-nucleotide ribosomal RNA is filed under the name uncultured bacterium. RNAcentral describes it as "partial 16S ribosomal RNA". It matches the Rfam family "Bacterial small subunit ribosomal RNA", at positions 28 to 507 of the family's 1533-position model. The record is from RNAcentral.